UGAGAGGGAUUAGAAAAAGUCCUAGGACUAGAUAACCAAACACCACCUUAAGUGAACCAGGAGUAAAUGCUCUCUAGCGACGAGUGUAUAUAUAAAGAUACAAUUGUGUAUUAUUCUCGACGUCCAAACAGAAACGGGAAUAAGAGGUUUGAGUCUGAUCUUAUGGAGGGAAAAGCUAUUCUUCUUUGCCUUAUGGUGCUUGUGCAGCUAGGAAAUUCCGUUCAUGUUGACAAAUGUAGGGCGGUAAUUGCCUUUUCAGGCACCACAUGCAUAGAACUGUCUUGCAUGUUGGCCUGCCAGAAGUCCUUCGGAGAUCACGCCAUAAACUCGGCAUGUAGGCUCCUUGGCCUAGCCACUCUGAAUUGUUACUGCAAGGUCUGUGACUAGAGUUGCACUAAACCAUUGUACGUAUCAAAUAAUGGAUAAUGAUGAGAUCCAGCAAUAAAAUCCUCUUUGUGACAUGUA
Molecule: long non-coding RNA, 465 nt
Organism: Aegilops tauschii subsp. strangulata
Lineage: Eukaryota; Viridiplantae; Streptophyta; Magnoliopsida; Poales; Poaceae
Source: RefSeq, a predicted model, not a curated record